Molecule: ribosomal RNA, 379 nt
Filed under: uncultured eukaryote
Lineage: Eukaryota
Description: SSU rRNA
Rfam family: Eukaryotic small subunit ribosomal RNA
Source: RNAcentral
AGCUCCAAUAGCGUAUAUUAAAGUUGUUGCGGUUAAAAAGCUCGUAGUUGGAUUUCUGUUGAGGGUGGCCAGUCCAAACUUUGUUUGGUAUUUGGUUCAGCCUUGGCAUCCUCCUGGGGAGCGUUUCGGUACUUGAUUGUAUUGGACGUAAUUCAGGACUUUUACUUUGAGGAAAUUAGAGUGUUCACGGCAGGCCUUAGCCUUGAAUAUGUUAGCAUGGAAUAAUAAUAUAAGACCUCGGUUUUAUUUUGUUGGUUUCUAGAAUUGAGGUAAUGAUUAAUAGGGACAAUUGGGGUAUUCGAAUUAACGCGUCAGAGGUGGAAUUCUUGGAUUGCGUUACGACGAACUACUGCGAAAGCAUUUACCAAGGAUGUUUUCA